GGGCCAGACUCCUACGGGAGGCAGCAGUGGGGAAUAUUGCACAAUGGGGGAAACCCUGAUGCAGCGACGCCGCGUGAGCGAUGAAGUAUUUCGGUAUGUAAAUCUCUAUCAGCAGGGAAGAAAAUGACGGUACCUGACUAAGAAGCCCCGGCUAACUACGUGCCAGCAGCCGCGGUAAUACGUAGGGGGCAAGCGUUAUCCGGAUUUACUGGGUGUAAAGGGAGCGUAGACGGCAAUGCAAGCCAGAUGUGAAAGCCCGGGGCCCAACCCCGGGACUGCUCUUGGAACUGCAUGGCUGGAGUACAGGAGGGGCAGGCGGAAUUCCUAGUGUAGCGGUGAAAUGCGUAGAUAUUAGGAGGAACACCAGUGGCGAAGGCGGCCUGCUGGACUGCAACUGACGUUGAGGCUCGAAGGCGUGGGGAGCAAACAGGAUUAGAUACCCGAGUAGC
This 449-nucleotide ribosomal RNA is filed under the name uncultured bacterium. Its description in RNAcentral is "bacterial SSU rRNA". It matches the Rfam family "Bacterial small subunit ribosomal RNA", at positions 328 to 794 of the family's 1533-position model. The record is from RNAcentral.